CGUUAUUGUUCUUCCAUUUCCGCACGCCGCGCGCCGGACCUGCACGCUCCCGACUUCGAGCUGCUGCUGCUCUGCUGCGGAACCGCGUCGCCGCCUGUCGCACAAAGGACAAGUAGAGGAAUAAAAAGAGUGGAUCUGACGGAUUUUAUUUGUUCAUCUUUCGCUUCUUGCUCGAGGGUUUUGUAUCGCUUUUGCUAACUUUAUUGACGAACUCGCCUCCUCCUCCUCCUCCAAAAUGGAGAACGAGAACAAGUACCUCCCGCAGCUCCUGGCGGAAAGAGACAGUCUGGAUUCAUCCUUCAUGCACGCCAUGAAACUUUUAUCUGCAGAAAUCGAGCGGGUUCAGAAAGACGAGCCGGAAAAAGACAACGAAACCUACUUGGAUCUCUUCACGGCGAAGAACAUCAAGCUGAAGGAACGAGUCCUCAUUCCAGUCAAACAGUACCCAAAGUUUAACUUUGUUGGGAAGAUACUUGGGCCUCAAGGGAACACCAUUAAGAGACUGCAGGAGGAAACGGGUGCCAAGAUUUCCGUUCUGGGCAAGGGGUCCAUGAGAGACAAAGCGAAGGAGGAGAGUUUGAGGAAAAGCGGCGAGCCCAAAUACGCGCACCUGUCCAUGGAGCUCCACGUAUUUAUCGAAGUAUUCGCCCCGGCGCCUGAAGCAUACAUGCGCAUGGCCAACGCUAUGGAGGAGGUUAAGAAGUUCCUCUUUCCUGACAUGAUGGACGAAAUUUGCCAGGAGCAGUUCAUGGAGAUGGGAUAUCUGAAUGGCAGCCACGAACACGCUGUCCGUGGCAGGGGAGGCCCAAUGGCCCGGGGGCGUGGAGGACCCCCUCCACCUAGGGGUCGAGGCAUGGCACUGAUGCGCGGCGGUGUUCCGCGCGGCGGCCCAGCCAGAGGUGGGGCGGUCAGAGGGGCUCCAGCAGGACGUGGAGGACCACCGGCUCAGGCUGUCAGAGGGGCGGCUGCCACGAGAGCUCGUGCUCCUGCCCCUGGAACGCAGCGGAUGCCUCCUCCACCGCGCCCUCCUGCCCAGGAGCCUUAUGAAGACUAUUCUUACGACGAAGCCUACACAGAGUCGGCUUACGAAGCCUACGACAGCUAUUACAGUCAGCCACCGGCAGAACCAGAGUAUUAUGACUAUGGACACGGAGAAACGCAGGAAGGAUACGAGAAUUAUGGUCAAGAUGACUGGAACGGAACGCAGCGUACGCCCACCGCCGGGAAAGUGGCCGCUCAGAGACAAACGAAGGGAGCGUACAGGGAACAUCCGUAUGGACGAUACUGAACUCUAACCAAGCACAACGUCACCACCCAUAAUGUCCCAUCAUGACGACUGUCUCCCACGGCAGCUCGCUCUUUAAGCAACCCGACAAAAGGAACUGUUCCUCCCCGGGAUGGAAUCAGGGUUUGCAGCUUUUUUCCCCAACAGGGGAAAGACCGGUUUGCCGUAAAGAGGCGGUCUUGAAUUUCAGCCGGCCGCUCUUUCGGUGCCGAAAGAAGUCUGAAAAGCGGCAGAGCGUCUCCAGGGUCGGAACCUUGAUGUUCCUGCCGGACGCCUUUCAAGAAUGAAGCCAGAAGCCCCGAGCGCUUGGAAAGUGCAUCCGCGGCUUAAAAAAGGAAAGAAAAAAGGAAAUCGAUGCUCUCUUCGGCGCUGCUGCCAAAGCAUGCGGGCGAUGUAUUGAGCUGGAGCAGAAAGCGACGUACGUGUCCUACAGCGGUCGUGUUUGUGCACGUGUACAUGGUCACAUAUUGGGGGAAUAGUAUCUGGCUCGUUGUCUUUGUCAAGCUUCCAGCUUUAGUUUUUCUUCACUUUGUUAAAUCCCUGAUGCUCGCUUAAUGCUGUCCUGAAAAUGACAGAACACAUGUCCUUUGUAUUUAUUUCCUCGACCCUCCUUCACCUUGGAUAUAUAUUGUAUGCUAAAAAAAAUUUUCCCCACAUUUACAUCAAUACAAACAUGAAAACCCAGGUUUCCUACACAUUUUGUAAAGGUAUCAAAAUAUGGAAUUUGCCAUAGUAUUGCCCGAGGGGUGUAACGAUACAACAAAACAGAACCGAAAUCUUUUUCACAUCAGGGCUUUUGUGUGUAUCGAAUGCGAUCCUUGAAUAAAAUCCGCGUUCCCUCAUCAAAGUAUUGGCGGCCCGCAAGUUUGUCGUUUCCGCCUCGAACUUAAGCGCAUUUUGUUUAUUAAGCUUGAAAACGUACACAACAAUGCACUAGGAAGCGGCUAAUGCUACGUCCAGCUUCAAGAAUUUCUCUUAAAAAGAGGAAAUCCUGACAAUUCCACAUAGCGAGGGAGUAAAUGAAUGAAGGAUGGAAGGAAUAGACAUUUGUUAAAUUCUGCUGAAAUAAGUAGAACAUUUAUGUGGAGCAAAUCUUUAGAAAACUGAAUAUUAAAUACGUAGCUGUAUUACUAAAAUGGGGUCUAACAAAUGUAAGCUAUUUAAUUGAAUUUGCGCCAAGAUAAUUGACUCGAUUUAAUCAAUAAAAUAAAGUAUAUUGCAUUAAUUUGAUGUAUUCUAUUUGAUCUUUUAUAAUUUUCUUUUAUUUAAAAUUGUUUUAAAAAAGGUAAACUCAUCAAAUGUUGAUCGCAAAUGUCAAUAAACUGUUAAAAUUUGCUUGUCGUGUUUUUUAAUUUUACAUUUUUCCUUUGACCGUACCAGAAUUUAGAACCGAUCCAUAAAAAGUCUUAAAAGCCGAGGUACGUACCAAACCGUGAACCCCUAUUUUGCCCUAUUCGCUUUUCUAAAAUAGAAAAGUUGUAUAAAACAAAGGCUGCUCUAAUCCGGAUACAUAAAAAAAACACGUUCAUUCACUUUCGUGUUCAGUAGUUUCCAAAAAUGUUGCUCUCCCACACCGAAACGUCUGAAAACUUUCACGUCACAAGGAAACCGUAAGACGCAGUGUAGUUUAUUGGUGAAUUGAACAAGAACAAUCCUCCUGUUGAACAAUCCAAUCUUUAAGGUUUAGAAAUAAUGAUUCGCAUUGCACUGUUCAGAAUCGCAUUAAUCGAUGAUUUACGUUUUAAUUAAAUGCUGUGCAUCGUACGUGGUUUAGUAUUAAUUUGUAGAAGCUACAGCAGCUACAACCUUAUUUUGUAAUAGCGUACAUCAGAGAUUUGAACUUUUAUAAUUGGGAAUGAAAAUCAUUAUCAUCGAUGUUAAAUUUGGUCUAAAAGUAAAUAUUUGAGUUUGGAAAAGUGCAAUUCUGAAAUGAAAAAAUGUGUAGGAAUCCUGAUAACCAGCCAAUUGAGAAGCUUGUAUGAAAGUUAUUGCAGGAUGUUUUUGACUCAUUUUUUUUAUAUUGUAUAUCUGUGUUGUAUGCCAUGUACACCUUUGCUGAUAUUUCAUGCCCCAGUUUAUAUCAUAACCACAGUAGAAAAAUGGCACGUAUAUUGGAUUUGUUUUCUUUUAAAGCUAAAUUAGAGCCAUCGGCCUUUUUUCAGUCUCAUGCUAGCUUCUCAGCUUGGAUAGAAACCCAAUUAGGCUUUUGGGAAGAAUGCACUGCAGAGGUUAUUGAUCGUAUUAAUUUUUUUCCCCUCUGCAAAAGGUUCAUUAUUUAAACGUGUUACAGUCUCGAAUGUUCAAGUAUAUCGUAUUUCAGAUUACAAGGACACCCGGGUGCUUUCGCUCCAGACUGCCACGAGUAGGUCUUUAUUUCCACGCCGCAGUGCCAUCGGGGCCUGAUGCUCCAGCGAGCCAGGAUGAUCCCAUUCGCCUUUCGAGGAAUUUAAAAUACACAGCUGUGCGCGCCCGGCGUGACGAGCCGUGAAUUGGGCUUUGGAGUUGAAACGCGUUACCCGGGGCGUUGUGAGUGUGAGCGAGCAGUCAAGCAGAUUCUCAGAACAUUUUUUCAUUCUUUUUUUUCCCCCCUUCUUCCUGAGACCAUAUUUU
RNA transcript from Silurus meridionalis, 3895 nucleotides. It is a transcript of the gene named KH domain containing, RNA binding, signal transduction associated 1b, with no coding region annotated. NCBI's taxonomy places the organism in Eukaryota, Metazoa, Chordata, Actinopteri, Siluriformes, Siluridae. The record is from RefSeq and is a predicted model, not a curated record. The transcript is spliced from 11 exons.